GAUGAAGAACGUAGCGAAAUGCGAUAAGUAAUGCGAAUUGCAGAAUUUCCGUGAGUCAUCGAAUCUUUGAACGCACAUUGCGCCCACUGGUAUUCCGGUGGGCAUGCCUGUUCGAGCGUCAUUAUCCUCCCUCAAACCUCGGGUUUGGUGUUGGACCCAAGUUGUGUGAACAACUGGUCUCAAAGACAAUGACGGCGUCCGUGGGACCCUCGGUGCAACGAGCUUUUAGGAGCACGCGCCGAGUUGCAAGGACCUUCCGGGCCGGUCUCCUUUUACUAUUUUACAAGGUUGACCUCGGAUCAGGUAGGAAUACCCGCUGAACUUAAGCAUAUCAAUAAGCGGAGGA
RNAcentral lists this unclassified non-coding RNA (346 nucleotides) under soil metagenome. RNAcentral's name for it is "partial contains 5.8S ribosomal RNA, internal transcribed spacer 2, and large subunit ribosomal RNA". The stretch from base 1 to 121 matches the Rfam family "5.8S ribosomal RNA", at positions 35 to 154 of the family's 154-position model. The record is from RNAcentral.